UACGUAGGCAGCGAGCGUUGUUCGGAAUUAUUGGGCGUAAAGCGCGUGUAGGCGGCGUGACAAGUCGGGUGUGAAAGCCCUCAGCUCAACUGAGGAAGUGCGCCCGAAACUGCAGAGCUUGAGUACCGGAGAGGAUGGCGGAAUUCCCCAAGUAGAGGUGAAAUUCGUAGAUAUGGGGAGGAACACCGGUGGCGAAGGCGGCCAUCUGGACGGAUACUGACGCUGAGACGCGAAAGCGUGGGUAGCAAACAGG
This 253-nucleotide ribosomal RNA is filed under the name uncultured bacterium. RNAcentral's name for it is "partial 16S ribosomal RNA". It matches the Rfam family "Bacterial small subunit ribosomal RNA", at positions 524 to 776 of the family's 1533-position model. The record is from RNAcentral.